RNAcentral lists this transfer RNA (72 nucleotides) under Petitella bleheri (rummy-nose tetra). RNAcentral's name for it is "tRNA-Thr". It matches the Rfam family "tRNA". From Rfam's summary of the family: Transfer RNA (tRNA) molecules are approximately 80 nucleotides in length. The record is from RNAcentral. Lineage: Eukaryota; Metazoa; Chordata; Actinopteri; Characiformes; Acestrorhamphidae.
GCUCUAGUAGCUUAAUUCAAAAGCACCGGUUUUGUAAUCCGAAGAUUGGAGGUCAAAUUCCUCCCUAGCGCC